Molecule: ribosomal RNA, 506 nt
Filed under: uncultured bacterium
Lineage: Bacteria
Description: partial 16S ribosomal RNA
Rfam family: Bacterial small subunit ribosomal RNA
Source: RNAcentral
AUUGAACGCUGGCGGCAGGCCUAACACAUGCAAGUCGAACGGUAACAGGAAGAAGCUUGCUUCUUUGCUGACGAGUGGCGGACGGGUGAGUAAUGUCUGGGAAACUGCCUGUUGGAGGGGGAUAACUACUGGAAACGGUAGCUAAUACCGCAUAACGUCGCAAGACCACAGAGGGGGACCUUCGGGCCUCUUGCCACCGGAUGUGCCCAGAUGGGAUUAGCUAGUUGGUGGGGUAACGGCUCACCAAGGCGACGAUCCCUAGCUGGUCUGAGAGGAGGACCAGCCACACUGGAACUGAGACACGGUCCAGACUCCUACGGGAGGCAGCAGUGGGGAAUAUUGCACAAUGGGCGCAAGCCUGAUGCAGCCAUGCCGCGUGUAUGAAGAAGGCCUUCGGGUUGUAAAGUACUUUCAGCGGGGAGGAAGGGAGUAAAGUUAAUACCUUUGCUCAUUGACGUUACCCGCAGAAGAAGCACCGGCUAACUCCGUGCCAGCAGCCGCCGUAA